GACGAACGCUGGCGGCGUGCUUAACACAUGCAAGUCGAACGGUAAGGCCCUUCGGGUACACGAGUGGCGAACGGGUGAGUAACGCGUGGGUGAUCUGCCCUGCACUUCGGGAUAAGCCUGGGAAACUGGGUCUAAUACCGGAUAGGACUCCUGGCUUCAUGGUUGGGGGUGGAAAGCUUUUGCGGUGUGGGAUGGGCCCGCGGCCUAUCAGCUUGUUGGUGGGGUAAUGGCCUACCAAGGCGACGACGGGUAGCCGGCCUGAGAGGGUGACCGGUCACACUGGGACUGAGAUACGGCCCAGACUCCUACGGGAGGCAGCAGUGGGGAAUAUUGCACAAUGGGCGCAAGCCUGAUGCAGCGACGCCGCGUGAGGGAUGACGGCCUUCGGGUUGUAAACCUCUUUCAGCACCGACGAAGCGCAAGUGACGGUAGGUGCAGAAGAAGGACCGGCCAACUACGUGCCAGCCGCCGCCGUAA
This 477-nucleotide ribosomal RNA is filed under the name uncultured bacterium. Its description in RNAcentral is "partial 16S ribosomal RNA". It matches the Rfam family "Bacterial small subunit ribosomal RNA", at positions 28 to 523 of the family's 1533-position model. The record is from RNAcentral.